RNAcentral lists this ribosomal RNA (786 nucleotides) under uncultured bacterium. RNAcentral's name for it is "bacterial SSU rRNA". It matches the Rfam family "Bacterial small subunit ribosomal RNA", at positions 8 to 796 of the family's 1533-position model. The record is from RNAcentral.
AGAGUUUGAUCAUGGCUCAGAGCGAACGCUGGCGGCGUGCUUAACACAUGCAAGUCGAGUGCGCGGUUGUAGCAAUACAACUGGCGCACGGCGCACGGGUGCGUAACACGUGGGUAAUCUGCCCUCUGAUGGGGAAUAACUCGCCGAAAGGCGAGCUAAUACCGCAUAACAUUCCUUGGACUCCGGUUCGAGGAUUCAAAGGCGUAAGUCGUCGGAGGUGGAGCCCGCGCACGAUUAGCUAGUUGGUAGGGUAAAGGCCUACCAAGGCUAUGAUCGUUAGCUGGUCUGAGAGGAUGGCCAGCCACACUGGAACUGAGACACGGUCCAGACUCCUACGGGAGGCAGCAGUGGGGAAUCUUGCACAAUGGGCGAAAGCCUGAUGCAGCGACGCCGCGUGGGGGAUGAAGCUUCUCGGAGUGUAAACCCCUUUCGACCGGGACGAAUACCUCGCAAGAGGGGUGACGGUACCGGUAUAAGAAGCCCCGGCUAACUACGUGCCAGCAGCCGCGGUAAGACGUAGGGGGCCAGCGUUGCUCGGAAUUACUGGGUGUAAAGGGUUCGUAGGCGGUGUGGCAAGUCGGGAGUGAAAUCUCUGGGCUCAACUCAGGGGCUGCUUCCGAAACUGCCGUGCUAGAGUGUGGGAGAGGCGCGUGGAAUUGCAGGUGUAGCGGUGAAACGCGUAGAUAUCUGCAGGAACACCCGUGGCGAAAGCGGCGCGCUGGACCACUACUGACGCUGAGGAACGAAAGCUAGGGGAGCAAACAGGAUUAGAUACCCUAGUAGUCC